CGCCCUUAGAGUUUGAUCAUGGCUCAGAUUGAACGCUGGCGGUAGGCUUAACACAUGCAAGUCGAGCGGUAACAGAGGAAUUAGCUUGCUAAUUUGCUGACGAGCGGCGGACGGGUGAGUAAUGCUUGGGAAUAUGCCUUUAGGUGGGGGACAACAGUUGGAAACGACUGCUAAUACCGCAUAAACUCUUCGGAGAAAAGUAGGGGAUCUUCGGACCUUACGCCUAUAGAUUAGCCCAAGUGGGAUUAGCUAGUUGGUGAGGUAAAGGCUCACCAAGGCGACGAUCCCUAGCUGGUUUGAGAGGAUGAUCAGCCACACUGGAACUGAGACACGGUCCAGACUCCUACGGGAGGCAGCAGUGGGGAAUAUUGCACAAUGGGCGCAAGCCUGAUGCAGCCAUGCCGCGUGUGUGAAGAAGGCCUUCGGGUUGUAAAGCACUUUCAGCGAGGAGGAAAGGUUGGUAGUUAAUAACUGCCAGCUGUGACGUUACUCGCAGAAGAAGCACCGGCUAACUCCGUGCCAGCAGCCGCGGUAAUACGGAGGGUCCUAGCGUUAAUCGGAAUUACUGGGCGUAAAGCGUACGCAGGCGGUUUGUUAAGCGAGAUGUGAAAGCCCAGGGCUCAACCUUGGAACUGCAUUUUGAACUGGUAGACUAGAGUACUGUAGAGGGUGGUGGAAUUUCCAGGGGUAGCGGUGAAAUGCGUAGAGAUCUGAAGGAAUACCGGUGGCGAAGGCGGCCCCCUGGAUUGAUACUGACACUUAGGUGCGAAAGCGUGGGUAGCAAACAGGAUUAGAUACCCUGGUAGUCCACGCCGUAAACGAUGUCAACUAGCUGUUGGAGGACUUGAUCCUUUAGUGGCGCAGCUAACGCGUUAAGUUGGACCGCCUGGGGAGUACGGCCGCAAGGUUAAAACUCAAAUGAAUUGACGGGGGCCCGCACAAGCGGUGGAGCAUGUGGUUUAAUUCGACGCAACGCGAAGAACCUUACCUACUCUUGACAUCCUCAGAACUUUCCAGAGAUGGAUUGGUGCCUUCGGGAACUGAGUGACAGGUGCUGCAUGGCUGUCGUCAGCUCGUGUCGUGAGAUGUUGGGUUAAGUCCCGUAACGAGCGCAACCCUUGUCCUUAUUUGCCAGAACGUAAUGGUGGGAACUUAAGGAGACUGCCGGUGACAAACCGGAGGAAGGUGGGGACGACGUCAAGUCAUCAUGGCCCUUAUGAGUAGGGCUACACACGUGCUACAAUGGUCGGUACAGAGGGUUGCCAAGCCGCGAGGUGGAGCCAAUCCCAGAAAGCCGAUCGUAGUCCGGAUUGGAGUCUGCAACUCGACUCCAUGAAGUCGGAAUCGCUAGUAAUCGUAGAUCAGAAUGCUACGGUGAAUACGUUCCCGGGCCUUGUACACACCGCCCGUCACACCAUGGGAGUGGAUUGCACCAGAAGUAGGUUGCUUAACCUUCGGGAGAGCGCUUACCACGGUGUGGUUCAUGACUGGGGUGAAGUCGUAACAAGGUAGCCGUAGGGGAAC
This 1524-nucleotide ribosomal RNA is filed under the name uncultured prokaryote. RNAcentral describes it as "partial 16S ribosomal RNA". It matches the Rfam family "Bacterial small subunit ribosomal RNA". The record is from RNAcentral.